UUGGUCCGCCUUUUAGGCGAUUAAUCGGAUUAUUAGGUAAUUGUUCGGAUUUCCGACUAGCUUAACCGAGUAGACCAAAAUCGCGGCGGUUACUCUCCGUCGAGCACCUAAUCGGUCGCCUAAUUGGCUAGGCGGCUGAGUUUUAGAACAGGGGUUAUACCCCUACUGAAAACAAGUUACCGGUCAAAACAAAAGGAGAGAUGACAUCGAUGACUUAAUAGAUGGAUCACAUUCACUAUGUACUGUUAAUUAACAAAUCAAGCAAAUAUAUCCACGUCACAUGCUUUCUUACCACGUAUAUGUUAACUGUGCUAUAUAAAUGUUUUAUUCCAUUUAUAAAAGUAUUAUGUUUGAUAGAAACAAACAUAACACCUUCAUAUGAAACAGAACUAGAAACCUUAAACUCAAUUCCACACCUAAAUACUACGCCCUAAACUCGAAUCUCUAAACUAAAACUCAAAUAUUAAAUCUAAUUUCUAAUUAUAAUAAUUUUAAAAAAUAAAAUAAAAUAAAGAUAUAUAAAAUUUGAACUAUUGUUCUACUAUCUAAAAUAGAGUGGAGACUAUUCUUCAGAACUAAUGCAUUUGUGUUCAACCUUAACCCACCUCCAACCAAAAUAGUAUAUAACACCAAUCCCAUCCCAACCCCUCAAUAAUAAACCAUAUAACAACCCUACCAUAAACCCUUAAAUACUUAACCUUAAACCAUAAUCAUUAUACCCUAAACUCAAAUAUAAACCCUAAAUUCAAAUAUAAACUCUCGACCUAAAUAGAAUGGAACUAAAUAAAUAGCAUAAUACAUAUUGGUGAAAAUAUUAAAUGUCUAUGAUAUUAUCGAAGAAGUUAAUGCUAAUUCCAUCUUUACCUCCUUCACCUACAAAAUACUAUACCCUAAACUUUAAUCCCUAAACCCUAAACCCAAAUAUAAACCAUAAACCCAAAUAUUAAAAGUAUAUAAACAUUAUCAUUCUACAUUAGGCAUAUAGAAUAGAAAAUCUGAAAAUGUAGUUACAAUCUAAAACUCAUCUUAACAUAUUUUUCAAAUAUUGAUAUGGUUAUGCCUUCAUGGAAGAUGGUAAUUCUUGUCACAAUAUCAACCCCAACCAUACAUAAACUAAACCCUACACGGAAAUAUAAACCCUAAUCCAAUAUCAACCCCAAUCUUUCAUAAACUAAACCCUAGCCACUAAUCACUAAACCCUAUAUGGAAUAUAAACUUUUAUCCAACCUCAAACUCAA
Molecule: long non-coding RNA, 1238 nt
Filed under: Brassica napus (rape)
Lineage: Eukaryota; Viridiplantae; Streptophyta; Magnoliopsida; Brassicales; Brassicaceae
Description: long non-coding RNA (BNAP_LNC008184)
Source: RNAcentral